This 254-nucleotide long non-coding RNA is filed under the name Nicotiana benthamiana. RNAcentral's name for it is "long non-coding RNA (NBEN_LNC034017)". Lineage: Eukaryota; Viridiplantae; Streptophyta; Magnoliopsida; Solanales; Solanaceae. The record is from RNAcentral.
UUCACUAUACUGGUUAGCAACCCAUUCUUCACGGUCCCAUUAGCCAUGAAUUCAACAAGUUCAUUUCUAGCCAAUCUUCCAUCCAUUUGAAGGACCAUGUCCUUCUAUCCUUAUGCCUCCAAUGAAGUAAAAAAUCUUACCAUGCCUGGAUCCUCCAGGUCUUUGAGCAAUCUACCUUUCAGAAUUUUUCUUUUUCCAAAAUUGGCAAACCUAUCUUGUUCCUGUUCCGACUCUUCUUCUCCUUCUUCUCCACU